This 426-nucleotide ribosomal RNA is filed under the name uncultured bacterium. RNAcentral's name for it is "bacterial SSU rRNA". It matches the Rfam family "Bacterial small subunit ribosomal RNA", at positions 330 to 754 of the family's 1533-position model. The record is from RNAcentral.
ACCAGACUCCUACGGGAGGCAGCAGUGAGGAAUAUUGGUCAAUGGGCGGGAGCCUGAACCAGCCAAGCCGCGUGAGGGAAGAAGGUACAGCGUAUCGUAAACCUCUUUUGUCAGGGAACAAAGGCGGGGACUAGUCCCCGGAUGAGGGUACCUGAAGAAAAAGCAUCGGCUAACUCCGUGCCAGCAGCCGCGGUAAUACGGAGGAUGCGAGCGUUAUCCGGAUUUAUUGGGUUUAAAGGGUGCGUAGGCGGUCCGUUAAGUCAGCGGUAAAAUUGCGGGCCUCACCCCCGUCGAGCCGUUGAAACUGGCAGACUUGAGUUGGCGAGAAGUACGCGGAAUACGCGGUGUAGCGGUGAAAUGCAUAGAUAUCACGCAGAACUCCGAUUGCGAAGGCAGCAUACCGGCGCCCAACUGACGCUGAAGCAC